Molecule: long non-coding RNA, 1026 nt
Organism: Paramormyrops kingsleyae
Lineage: Eukaryota; Metazoa; Chordata; Actinopteri; Osteoglossiformes; Mormyridae
Source: RefSeq, a predicted model, not a curated record
UACUUCACGUCUAUAUUAAUGAGAACAUGUAGACACGCAUCUGAAUGGGGAGUAUAUAGUAACAGGGAGAAUGUAGUCAUUAAAUGUUAAUAUUUUGCAGCGUUUUUCCUUCUUUGUUACUCGAGUUGCUGCGGACUACAAGUCCCAUUGGUCAUCUUGGAUUUUGACGUUGUUUUGAAUUUAAAAAAGAUUUAGCAGUUUAUAUGCCGUAUACUGUAAACUUUAACUUAAUGCGGCAAACUACGCCUUCUCUACAGCGAUAUUUUAAAAAUUAGAAAUGUACCGAAAAAAAACGCUGUAUUCGGCUGUGCUGUCACUGGUCUCCGAAAGAGCGCAGUCUCCUUUGUACUUGCUGCGUGGUCAUCCAUCCUCACAGAGAAGAGAAGAAUCUGGACCCUCGUGGAAGCCGGGGUUCCCUUGGAUGGGAGCCAACCGUUUCGUGGCCCGGAGCAGCAGCUCAGUGUUUUGAAGGAAGCUUAGAUGACCGGUUCGUCGGGGUCACCGAUGAGCUCAUCUGGUCUGACAGGCUUUGGAGUCUGAAUGGAGGCCUGGCGCCGGUCGGACCUGCUUGCAUCCUGGCACACAAGAGUUGGUCAUCCUCCAGACACAAGCAGAACAUUCUGGGUUUCCCCGCAUGACCUGCCAAAAGACCUCCCUGAUUUUACGCUUCUGCAGCCAGUGGAAGAGCAAACAGUUUCAAAGGCGAACCUCACCCAGGCCUUAUGGGUCCUGGACUAUUUAGCUCUGGUGCUGAAAUCUACCUGCUGAUGAUAAACUAUGUGUCAUAGACAGUUACAGCUCAUGCAUCAUGAAUAAUGAUGUGAGCAGAAGGCAGUGCGUCAUGUCACAUGACACCUGGCUACAUGAUUAGUAUGAAGCCAUGAACUGUAGCAUAAAUGGGAACCACCUUUAAUCCAAUUAGACCUCUGUGGCCAAAGGCCUUAUUUAAAGGGCUUUUCUCGUGUAAAUUUGCCACCUGAAUGUGACAGCAGGCAGCCAAUUUAAAAGUCUUCUCCCACUCCCUCC